This 543-nucleotide long non-coding RNA is filed under the name Mytilus galloprovincialis (Mediterranean mussel). Lineage: Eukaryota; Metazoa; Mollusca; Bivalvia; Mytilida; Mytilidae. The record is from RNAcentral.
UGUGCCUGAUGUACAUAUGAUGAAAUCAUAAUCUUUCAGUCAGUUUAAUUGAAGUCUGGAGCUGGCAUGUCAGUUAACUGCUAGUAGUCUGUUGUUAUUUAUGUAUUAUUGUCAUUUUGUUUAUUUUCUUUGGUUACAUCUUCUGACAUCAGACUCGGACUUCUCUUGAACUGAAUUUUAAUGUACGUAUUGUUAUGCGUUUACUUUUCUACAUUGGUUAGAGGUAUAGGGGGAGGGUUGAGAUCUCACAAACAUGUUUAACCCCGCCGCAUUUUUGCGCCUGUCCCAAGUCAGGAGCCUCUGGCCUUUGUUAGUCUUGUAUUAUUUUAAUUUUAGUUUCUUGUGUACAAUUUGGAAAUUAGUAUGGCGUUCAUUAUCACUGAACUAGUAUAUAUUUGUUUGGGGGCCAGCUGAAGGACGCCUCCGGGUGCGGGAAUUUCUCGCUACAUUGAAGACCUGUUGGUGACCUUCUGCUGUUGUUUUUUAUUUGGUCGGGUUGUUGUCUCUUUGACACAUUCCCCAUUUCCAUUCUCAAUUUUAUUU